UUUCGUACGAACGCUACGUGGACGGCC
Molecule: small RNA, 27 nt
Filed under: Bombyx mori (domestic silkworm)
Lineage: Eukaryota; Metazoa; Arthropoda; Insecta; Lepidoptera; Bombycidae
Description: piRNA piR-bmo-2179347
Source: RNAcentral